Ribosomal RNA from Mustela putorius furo (domestic ferret), 134 nucleotides. Lineage: Eukaryota; Metazoa; Chordata; Mammalia; Carnivora; Mustelidae. The record is from Ensembl.
GUCUACAGCCAUACCACCCUGAACGUACCCGAUCUCAACAGAUCUCGGAAGCUAAGCAGGGUCGGGCCUGGUUAGUACUUGGAUGGGAUAAUAUACUUCUCUAUACUCUUAGGGGAAAAUGGACUCAGAAUAAA